Long non-coding RNA from Cannabis sativa, 576 nucleotides. RefSeq lists it as uncharacterized. The record is from RefSeq and is a predicted model, not a curated record. Lineage: Eukaryota; Viridiplantae; Streptophyta; Magnoliopsida; Rosales; Cannabaceae. The transcript is spliced from 2 exons.
CAAGUUCGAUAAUUAAGGGCAUUCGAAAUUUCAAAAUGCCUGAUUUUAGAAGUUAUGUCCACGAGUCUCCAUUCCCAAUUGAGUCAUUCAAAAUCUCACUAAUAGAUUUUAGAAGAACGAUUUUAUUUCAAUCACCGUAUUCACUAUGCCUAUGAUUUGGUUCUCAAUCACUAUUCCCAAUCAAGCUAUCAAAAAUCUCACUGCUGCCUGGUUUUAGAAGCUAUGUCUCAAUCUCAACAGUAAUCUUCUCCAGUGGAUUUUCUGGGUCGGACCACUUAUCGGAGCUUUGGCCGCCGCGGCGUACCACCAGUACAUACUGAGGGCAAUUGCCAUUAAAGCUUUGGGAUCGGAAAGAAACGCUACCAACUAGAAAAUUAAUUAUUAAAUUCAUAAUUUAUUUUGUUUGGUUGUGUGUAUGAUAAUGAGAGAGGUUGAUUAAUGUUUAAUUUUUAAUUUUUUACUUUUUUUUUUCGGUAUCAUCUUUCAUAUUUAAAAAUCUUUUUUUUUGUUAGCUUGCGAACCUGUGUAUUAUUUGUUCAUGAGUAGUGAUGAUCAGAAGAAGUGUUCUUUUUAUUC